Molecule: long non-coding RNA, 1604 nt
Organism: Oryctolagus cuniculus (rabbit)
Lineage: Eukaryota; Metazoa; Chordata; Mammalia; Lagomorpha; Leporidae
Source: Ensembl
GGUGAGGCCGCGCAGGGUGGACAACACGAGGGCUGGUGGCCGGCCUUGCUUGCUGGACGCGUAGCCGGCAGGUCCUUUGCCCCAGGGACGUGUGGCCCGGUGGAAAGUCAGACAAUGGCUGCUACAGACCCCUGAGCCCUGGGCAAGCUGAAAGCUGAGGAUAUGGUGGUGAACAGAAGUGUGGUUUCUGCCUUGUAAGUGUGAAUCUCACUUUUGCUUUUAGUGAACACGGAAUUGUACGUAUUUUGGGGAUGCAGUGGGAUAUUCCAAUACCUACAUACAGUUUGUCCAGGACAAAUCAGGGCAGUUAACAUUUCCAUCUGCUCAUCAUUGCUUUCUUGCUGGGAGCCUGCCAGCCCCCCUCUUCUAGCUCUUCCUAAAGUAUCCGGUAGGUUGUCCUGAACGAGGGUCCCCCACUGUGCCGGCGCUGGAACUCACUCCUCCUCCCUCUACCUUCUGUCAUCCCUAGGGCUGGAACACAGGCACGGAAGCCCAGAGUCACCCUUCCGCCUCCAGCGUGACCACAGCUCGCCUUCUCCGUGGGAGGAUGUGCGCCUCAUCCACACUCCCCCAUGAGGCCUGGCCUGGUGGCUGCCGAACUCACUGUACGAGACGGCUGAACUCAAUGAAGACCGCUAAGUGCCGACAAAUCAACGGAGCCCUCGGCUCCCUGCUUCCCCACCACAUCCCAGCACCCACCGGGGCCUCCCAGAGCCUGGGUGGGGCCCCCCACUUUCUCUGCAGAGACUCCCCGGGUCUGCGCCGUCUCAGACUGAAAGAAGCUUCGGGACCAAGAAGUCCUCUGGUCUCCCACGGUCCGAGGAGGGGGCGGCCUGGCCCUUGCUUCUGCUCGGGCAGCAGCUGGCCAGCCCCCUCCCUGCCACUCUCUAUCCUCUCUGCCGCAGACUUGGUGACGUAAGGUGACGCAAGCCUGGCACCCCGCACCGCUGUGCAGGUUGGAAGUCCGGCCGGGCUCUCCUGGCCCCUCGUGUCGCUCACCCUCUUCACGGAGGAACGACACUAAACCCUGCCUAGGCUUCAUAUCCGAGUCACGGCACCAUUAUGUCGCUCCCCCUCUUCACAGAGGAACGACACAAGACCCUGCGUUGUUCUUUUGUCUGCUCGGCCCUCCCCGGGUUUGCUGCUGGUUCUUCCCGGGUUGGCUACCGUCCCUCCACCUCCGUGGAAGGGCGGGCCCCCUGCCACUUUCCCCACUUCCGCGGGGGAGCGGCACACCGCCGGCCGGCUCUUUCGGGGGCUGCACAGGUGUCCCUUCAGAUAGAUGUUCCUGGUGCAUGUUGUCUCUCUCCUCCUUUAUAGUUCUCUUCCGCCAAUCCCAACUCGGCUACCCACACGCCGAGUACGCUGCUCUCCUCCAAUCAGGAGCAGCUCCUGCAGCUUAUUGGUUGAACUGGAGGCAGCUGUGUAGAAGCUGUUUACUCCUCUCCCAGCGCCAUAUUGUGGGAGAGCAGAUGCAUAGAAUAAGUCUUAAUUCCAGUAACUUAGUCUAGUCUGAGUUGCUCCCCACACCCUCGGUGGUGCUGGCCGAGUCCUCCCUGGAGACUGGCUGGGAGGGUCCUUGCACAGGCUCGCGCCCAUGGGCG